UACAGAGGGUGCGAGCGUUAAUCGGAAUUACUGGGCGUAAAGCGUGCGUAGACGGCUAUUUAAGUCGGAUGUGAAAGCCCCGGGCUCAACCUGGGAAUUGCAUUCGAGACUGAAUAGCUAGGGUACGGUAGAGGGAAGUGGAAUUUCCGGUGUAGCGGUGAAAUGCGUAGAUAUCGGAAGGAACAUCAGUGGCGAAAGCGACUUCCUGGACCAGUACCGACGUUCAGGCACGAAAGCGUGGGGAGCAAACAGG
This 253-nucleotide ribosomal RNA is filed under the name uncultured bacterium. RNAcentral's name for it is "partial 16S ribosomal RNA". It matches the Rfam family "Bacterial small subunit ribosomal RNA", at positions 524 to 776 of the family's 1533-position model. The record is from RNAcentral.